This 497-nucleotide ribosomal RNA is filed under the name uncultured bacterium. RNAcentral's name for it is "partial 16S ribosomal RNA". It matches the Rfam family "Bacterial small subunit ribosomal RNA", at positions 28 to 507 of the family's 1533-position model. The record is from RNAcentral.
GAUGAACGCUGGCGGCGUGCCUAAUACAUGCAAGUCGAGCGAACAGAUAAGGAGCUUGCUCCUUUGACGUUAGCGGCGGACGGGUGAGUAACACGUGGGUAACCUACCUAUAAGACUGGGAUAACUUCGGGAAACCGGAGCUAAUACCGGAUAACAUUUGGAACCGCAUGGUUCUAAAGUGAAAGAUGGUUUUGCUAUCACUUAUAGAUGGACCCGCGCCGUAUUAGCUAGUUGGUAAGGUAACGGCUUACCAAGGCAACGAUACGUAGCCGACCUGAGAGGGUGAUCGGCCACACUGGAACUGAGACACGGUCCAGACUCCUACGGGAGGCAGCAGUAGGGAAUCUUCCGCAAUGGGCGAAAGCCUGACGGAGCAACGCCGCGUGAGUGAUGAAGGGUUUCGGCUCGUAAAACUCUGUGAUUAGGGAAGAACAAAUGUGUAAGUAACUGUGCACGUCUUGACGUUACCUAAUCAGAAAGCCACGGCUAACUACGUG